RNAcentral lists this unclassified non-coding RNA (1423 nucleotides) under Daphnia magna. RNAcentral describes it as "snRNA-activating protein complex subunit 3, transcript variant X1". Lineage: Eukaryota; Metazoa; Arthropoda; Branchiopoda; Diplostraca; Daphniidae. The record is from RNAcentral.
UCAACAAUUCAUUUGAAAGAAGCAUGUGCAAGAUUUGGCGGGCACUUGUUUGAGUUGUUUCUCUCUUAUUUAAAUAAAUAAAUUUUGUAAAGUCAAAAUGGAAGAAACGUACCCCGUAGAGAGCUAUCCUUACGUUUCGCAGUCAUUCAAAUGUAAUGAUUACUUCGUGGAAUAUAAAAAAGUCUUGAGUGAAACACUGUACAAGCAAGAAGCCGAACUUGAAACCAAAAGCACCACGUUAGAAAAAAUUGCUUGUAUGAUGGGUAUAAGUCUCAGCGAAUGCACAGAUUUGGAGCAAAAAUGCAGUAUAUUACAGCUUGAAAAUGUGAAUGACCCUGUAGACCCAUUGGAACUCAAACUCAGAUCAGAAGCCAUGAGUGCAGAUGAUAAGCUGGAGAAAGCUACCAGAACACUGGCAACUGCCGUUGAAUUAAAGGCUAUUAAGGCACAUCCAUUGCAAUAUGAGAAGAAACUCAGGGAUCUAAAAAAAAUGUCAAUACCCACAUUUAAACAAGAGCCCAACCCAUCUUCUGAAGUCAAAUUACCCAAAGAAUUUGUUAUGAUUGCCAGAGUGUUUAGGCCUUUCAGAAGUCACAUGGGCUCACACACAGUUGCACAUGCACAGGACUUUAUGUUACUUGGUUCCCAAAAUUUAGUUGACUUCAGAGAUAAAAUAAAGUGCAUGAAUGACGAUCUACCGGUUGGGGAAGCAGGACCGAUAAAGGAUCACAUCAAGUCGGGAAUGUUCUUUUUCGGGAAUACAUUCUAUUAUGAUGGCCGAGUCCUUACGAAUAUCAAUUAUGGUGAGGUGAUAGAACGCUGGGCUAAAGAGAAACCAGAAAUGAAGUUGGGUCCAUUUGAGAAUCGAGACAUGGCAGAAUGCAAGAUUGCCGAUCUAGAGAUUCGCCUCGGCUUCCCUUACGUCUUUAUGCAUCUUGGCAGUUGCGAACAUCUCGUCACUUUUUUGGAUGCAAGGCUAAUGGACCCAGAAGAUUUACAAAACCCUGACGAAUAUCCACUCGUCGUGGAAACGGAAAAUGAAGUCAUGUACUGUUUUGCGUGCGAUGUGCAUGACUCUAGCUAUUACGUUGACGACGAUCAGAUGCCCACAAAACCGGUGAACUUGUGUGAACAGUGUUUUGAAGUAUUUUACAAGAGGAACGGUGUCAUUCCGCCCAGCACUGAAGAAGUCUAUUAUUGCAAAUUCCCCGGAAAAGCAACAAUCGACGAAAAAUCUGAGGAAGUCUUAGAGUCUUCUGAUUAAUGUCAUCGCUUUGCUACAUUAUUCGAAACUUGUCUAUUCGAAAUGUGCUCCAACGAAAUUUUGUAUUAUUUCACUGCCCUUUCUGCCAUGGCGACCAAAACGGAGUUUGGCGGUCCGGAUGGUAGACGAGGAAGCACGCUAGCAUCGACAACUCUCAAA